AAGGAUGUAGUUCAGUGGUUGAAUACCUGUAUGCAGGAGGUCCUGAGUUCAAUCCUUAGUAUAAUUU
This 67-nucleotide transfer RNA is filed under the name Ictidomys tridecemlineatus (thirteen-lined ground squirrel). RNAcentral's name for it is "Spermophilus tridecemlineatus (thirteen-lined ground squirrel) tRNA". It matches the Rfam family "tRNA". From Rfam's summary of the family: Transfer RNA (tRNA) molecules are approximately 80 nucleotides in length. The record is from Rfam by way of RNAcentral. Lineage: Eukaryota; Metazoa; Chordata; Mammalia; Rodentia; Sciuridae.